Papilio xuthus (Asian swallowtail) is the source of this 561-nucleotide long non-coding RNA. RefSeq lists it as uncharacterized. The record is from RefSeq and is a predicted model, not a curated record. The transcript has 2 exons. Lineage: Eukaryota; Metazoa; Arthropoda; Insecta; Lepidoptera; Papilionidae.
GCUGACAUGACGGCUAUCACCCGGAUGUCACUGUCAAACUCAAAUUAUCGACAUUUUCAAUAUUAUAAGCAGUGUUAAUAAUUAUAAAGUUUGUUUAUAUCAAUUAAAUAUUUAAUUAUAUUUUAGGAAAUACAUUUCCACUUUAAGGCUCUGUCUUUAUAAAUUUUUGGGAUAUAUUAAGCAACAAAGGGCAAAAUGGGUGAACGAUACAACAUUCACAGCCAGUUAGAACAUCUUCAGAGUAAAUAUAUCGGCACAGGGCAUGCGGAUACUACAAAAUACGAGUGGUUAACGAAUCAACAUCGCGACUCGUGUUGUAGCUAUAUGGGACAUCCGGAUUUACUAAGCUACUUUGCAAUAGUUGAAAAUGAGUCUAAGGCGAGAGUUAAAUUUAACCUAAUGGAAAAAAUGCUGCAGCCUUGUGGGCCACCUCCAGAAAAACCAGAAGACUAAUUGAGACUUUAUGAUGGUUAAUAUAUUGCUCUUCGUUUUUAAGUGUACACUUGAGAAAUUACUUUUAAAAAUAAAUAUGUGCUAAACACAGAUAUUUUAAAUACUGUA